AACGAACGCUGGCGGCAUGCCUAACACAUGCAAGUCGAACGAGACCUUCGGGUCUAGUGGCGCACGGGUGCGUAACGCGUGGGAACCUGCCCUUAGGUUCGGAAUAACUCCCCGAAAGGGGUGCUAAUACCGGAUAAUGUCUUCGGACCAAAGAUUUAUCGCCUUUGGAUGGGCCCGCGUUGGAUUAGCUAGUUGGUAGGGUAAAAGCCUACCAAGGCGACGAUCCAUAGCUGGUCUGAGAGGAUGAUCAGCCACACUGGGACUGAGACACGGCCCAGACUCCUACGGGAGGCAGCAGUGGGGAAUAUUGGAAAAUGGGCGAAAGCAUGAUCCAGCAAUGCCGCGUGAGUGAUGAAGGCCUUAGGGUUGUAAAGCUCUUUUACCCGGGAUGAUAAUGACAGUACCGGGAGAAUAAGCUCCGGCUAACUCCGUG
RNAcentral lists this ribosomal RNA (433 nucleotides) under uncultured bacterium. Its description in RNAcentral is "partial 16S ribosomal RNA". It matches the Rfam family "Bacterial small subunit ribosomal RNA", at positions 29 to 507 of the family's 1533-position model. The record is from RNAcentral.